Molecule: ribosomal RNA, 322 nt
Filed under: uncultured eukaryote
Lineage: Eukaryota
Description: partial 18S ribosomal RNA
Rfam family: Eukaryotic small subunit ribosomal RNA
Source: RNAcentral
CCCUUAGAUGUUCUGGGCCGCACGCGUGCUACACUGAGUGGAUCAGCGGGUCAGGUUGCGCGAAAGUGUUUCCUAAUCUUGAAAUCCGCUCGUGAUGGGGAUUGACGGUUGCAAUUUUCCGUCAUGAACGAGGAAUACCUUGUAAGCGCGGGUCAUCAUCCCGCGCUGAAUACGUCCCUGCCCUUUGUACACACCGCCCGUCGCUCCUACCGAUUGAGUGGUCCGGUGGGGCUUUGGGAUCUGAGCGGAAAGAGCGUUUCGCUGUUUCUGCCCGGAAAACUCAGUCGAACCUUAUCAUUUAGAGGAAGGAGAAGUCGUAACA